This is a long non-coding RNA of Mastomys coucha (southern multimammate mouse), 226 nucleotides long. RefSeq lists it as uncharacterized. Lineage: Eukaryota; Metazoa; Chordata; Mammalia; Rodentia; Muridae. The transcript has 2 exons. The record is from RefSeq and is a predicted model, not a curated record.
GAACCCAGGGCCUCCUCUGUUACUGUACACUGGGGCCUCUCCGUGAGUCAUGGUGUGGAAGUCUGCAACUCGUCUUCAAAACAGCUGCUACCAACAGCCCGCCCAGCCCUCCCUAGCCAGCGGCCAUCUCAUCCACAAUCUCAGAAACCUCAGCGAUGCCACAGGCUAAUCUCAUCUUAGCAAAUAACAAUAAUGAACACCACCACCACCACCACCAUCAUCACCA